RNAcentral lists this transfer RNA (106 nucleotides) under Cladophialophora psammophila CBS 110553. It matches the Rfam family "tRNA". Rfam says of the family: Transfer RNA (tRNA) molecules are approximately 80 nucleotides in length. Their secondary structure includes four short double-helical elements and three loops (D, anti-codon, and T loops). The record is from Rfam by way of RNAcentral. Lineage: Eukaryota; Fungi; Ascomycota; Eurotiomycetes; Chaetothyriales; Herpotrichiellaceae.
GGUUCUAUAGUGUAGUGGUGAUCACUCCGGAUUUUGAUUGUGCAGGGCGUUCACUCUCUGUGCGAGAAACAUUCCGGCAACCCCGGUUCGAACCCGGGUAGGACCU